UCCGAAUACAGCAAUCAUUUUAAGAUUUUGCAGCAGUGUUGGACCAUCAGGCUCCUUUUGGCCUCCUAUUCAUUGUAUACCAAAAGCUUCUUUUGAGUCACUUGGAUAAAUAAACUGUUUUUUUUAAGCGUUUCCAACAUGAGUGUGGAUAACACGACUCUGACUGAGACCAUAUUCUACGGCCACGUGCCCUGCGAUGGCUGGAGCAACAACACCGAGGGGGCCAUCUAUCACUUGGGCAACACCAUCCUGGUCCUGGGGUACAUGGGUGGCAGCGGGGCGUAUGGAUGCUUGUUCAUUUUUGGGUUCCUGUUCCCCUCCUUCCUGUGCCUGGCCCUGUGGGGCUGGCUGACCAUGUGUGGGUUGGAUGUCUUCACUUGGAACGUGCUUCUGCUCUCAGCCAGCCUGGCUCAGAUCUGCCACCUCAUCUACCGGCUUCAUGAGGAUGGCCUGCCCAGCGAGGAGCUCACCACCCUGUACCAGGCUGUGUAUCUGCCCCUGGGGGUGCCCAUCUGCGUAUUCAAGGAGAUUGCGGGUGCCUUUGAGAACACAGUGGUGGAGCUCAAGGCGGGAGAGACGUAUGCUGUUGAAGGCAAGACACCCAUUGACCAGCUCUCCUUUCUACUGUCUGGGAGGAUCAAUGUGUCUCUGGAAGGCCAGUUCCUACAUUACAUCCACUGCCACCAGUUUUUGGACUCUCCUGAGUGGGAGUCUCUCAGGCCAAACGAGGAAGGAAACUUUCAGGUGACCCUGACGGCAGAGGAGGACUCGCGCUAUGUCUCGUGGCGUCGCCAGCGGCUCUACAUCCUGCUGUCGAAGGAGCGCUACAUUGCCCGCCUCUUCUCUGUCAUGCUAGGCUACGACAUUGCCGAAAAACUCUACACCCUCAAUAACAAACUAUUCAUCAAGAGCGGCGUACGCCUGGACAUCCGCCUGCCCAGCCUGUACCAUGUGUUGGCCCCCACCUCACAGGGCAGUGAGGGUGCUAGUAGUAAUUAUAAGGAUCACGCCACGCCGGGGGAGGGUCCAAAUCAGCAGCAGGGGUCGGCUGGGGAAGAUCCAACCUCGGCUGGCCAGCAUUCGGCCCCGCCCCAGCCUCUUCAACCCCACCAGCAGGGACCAAAGAAAGUAGCCAAAGCCGAUCCGCAGGCCCCCCAGCCAAACCACCGCCCACCCUGGGCCUCAGAUAUAGAGUUCCCCUCCGGUGAGGACUCCACCAGCCUGGUCCUGGAGGACUUUGCUGAUGUGGCGGGCUCCUUAAUGGAUUAUGGGAGUGAGAGGGAUUAUUUGAGGUAGAGGGAGCAGGGGGCCGGAGCUAACACACUGGGUCAGCACUUAAGCUAUGUGAGGUGAUAACAAUGGGAGUGUACCACCCCGAUUCCAGAGGGGCAGGGCUCCGCUUGCACCUACGGACACCCCCAGGCUGUGAGAAUGGUCUCCUCUGAAGCGCUCCCUUUGUUUGGAAUGAACCCACAGCAGGUCCACCUAUUGGACUCCUAAACUCACACAUCCUUGCCCCUAAAUCCUCCCCCCCUAAAAAAAAAAGCCUAGGAGGAAGAGAACGGAGGAGACAACAUAAAAUCACUGCUGGACAGGGAGAAUUCAGGAAAAAGCAUGUUAGUGUUAUGUCCUGCCUGUAUGGCAUUUGCACUGUGGGCCUACAGGAGAAGUCCUCUUGGGGCUGCGUUCAAUGUGCUCACCUCUUCUCCUGACUGGCAGUGAUGGCAUUGCCACUUCCUCCCUUUUGAUUAUUUCCAGUUGUUGGUAUUUACAGGUAUGCUCUGCCUGUCCUUCCUGGGUGUUUAGAUCCUAAUCAAUUUUACUC
Molecule: RNA transcript, 1825 nt
Organism: Lampris incognitus (smalleye Pacific opah)
Lineage: Eukaryota; Metazoa; Chordata; Actinopteri; Lampriformes; Lampridae
Gene: popdc2
Gene name: popeye domain containing 2
Exons: 4
Source: RefSeq, a predicted model, not a curated record